ACGAGACCAAGUGGAGAAUCAAGGAAUGUACUUAAAAAUCUUGGACUAUAUAAAUAAUACAUGUGAAGCCCAUAUCCAAAUCAUGUAUCAUACCUAACAUGGCAUAAGCAAAUGUAUCCUAGUGUAGUUACACAGGACUUUGCAUUGUAACUUCAGAGAGUUGGUCAGGAAAGAGUAGUACCCAAGGACUCUGCAAAUCAACAUUGGAAACAGAUGGUAGGAGCAGUUUGAACUUGAGCCAAGCUCUUUGGGUUACAAAGCACUUUUCAAAUUCAUUUUGCUAUCCAUAGAGAGAGAUAAAUCACACCUAUUAACUUACCUAAUUGUCCUUGGCUUGCAAUGUGAGGUUCAGUCUUGUACUCCUUUAACUUUCAUUUCAUAACCAUUUGAGACACAAGACAGUAUUUCACAAGAUGCCUUGCAGUGGGCUAGUGACUUCUGUUCAAUAUCCUUAAGUUAUUACUUAGAAAAUACCAGAAUUCCCUUAAUACCAUUUAUGUCAAUUUGCUCAGCACAUUGUUCUUUGUAGAACUGAUGGCUUCCACUCCCCCUCCCCUACUUUUUUGAAGCCACCGUUAAUAUACCGGGGAAACAGACUCCGUUUGAACAGUUAUCAAAGGACAAUUAUGAAAUGUAAAUAUGAAAGGCUGUAAUAUGAUGCCACAAAUUUAAAAAAAAAUUGUCCUCCCAAAACACUUAGAGCUUGGGUGCGACAUGCCUGUUUCAGGAAAUAUUUUAUAGGAGUAUUUUAUAAGAAAUAUUCUUGGAAAAUCUAAACUACCUUUUCCUUUCCUCUUCUGCUUUUCCAAAAAGAACAUUUUCCUCAUAUUAUUUGCUGAGCAAUUCUCGAUUACAAAAAAAUGGGUCACUUGUGGAAGAAAGAAGUCCUUUUCUAGUUGGACAACUUGUUUAGAAAUUGAAAAGUGUUCAAGCAGAGACUGGUUGACUACUUGCAAACUGUGGGAGGAAUUCCUAUACCAUGGUAUAAAACCAGAUGACUUUCAAGGUUUCUGCCAUUCAUGAAUCCAGAAGAACGGGAGGUGAAGAGGAGGAUGAGGAGGAAGAGGGGAACCAAAAGAAAGGAGACAGGAGAGGAAGAGGAAGAAGGAGAAGACAACUCAAGGGAUCAGGAAUGGGAACUUGCAGGCCAGUGAGUUCCAGGAGGUAUGUGAUUUUAGUCAAGAGGUUAUCACCACAGGGACACCUGGCUGGCUCAGUCAGAAGAGCAUGUGACUCUUGAGCUCUAGGUUGUGAGUUCGAGCCCUAUGUUGGGUGUAGAACUUAAAAAAACUUAAAACUUAAGUUUUAAGUAAAACUUAAAAAAGAAAAAAGAGGUCACCACCACAGAGACUUAGUGCAAAAAGAGGGAACACUGAGAGGAUGAAUCUGAGGUCAGUGUGUGUGACUGCUAGGAAAAUCAGAUGAUAUAGAAAGGACAGAAAGGCACCCUUUCCAAUGAAGCAGA
Long non-coding RNA from Acinonyx jubatus (cheetah), 1465 nucleotides. RefSeq lists it as uncharacterized. The transcript is spliced from 3 exons. The record is from RefSeq and is a predicted model, not a curated record. Lineage: Eukaryota; Metazoa; Chordata; Mammalia; Carnivora; Felidae.